Molecule: long non-coding RNA, 528 nt
Filed under: Mus pahari (shrew mouse)
Lineage: Eukaryota; Metazoa; Chordata; Mammalia; Rodentia; Muridae
Description: EST AA545190 (MGP_PahariEiJ_G0004967.1)
Source: RNAcentral
GACCCCGGAGAUCUCUCAAACACUGGACCACCAAACUGAUAGCAUACAUGAGCUAAUAUGAGGCACAGCACACAUACAGUAGAGGACUUCUGGGUCUGUGUUCAUUCAAAGAUAAUGCACUUAACCCUCAAGAGUCUGGAGGCCCCAGAGAAUUUUGAGACUGAGAAUGAUAUCUAAAGAAAGUAAAGAAGCGUUCAAAGCAAAAGAUUUGUUCUCCACUGCCUAAGAUUAGGAAUCCAGAAGGGGGAGCAUCAGUGUCCCAGGCACUGUGUGCCAAAGCAGUGACAACAUUCAAAGGAGAGAGUCUGAACCCAUGAUCAGGCCUUACAUGUAAGAUGCAAGAACAAGACAUUAAUAGGGAGUGCUGGAAGUGACUGAGCACGAAGGAUACUUAUUCUAUAUAGCAUGAUGCUCCCCAACCCCAAAAGCUUCAGAGAACCCUAUCAAAAGGAAUUUCUGACUUGUAUAGGUUUUCAGGGAGUGGUGAGAAAUUCCAUACCUCAUUAGUUCAUCUGGGUGAUAUUAUGU